UGGGGAAUAUUGGGCAAUGGGGGAAACCCUGACCCAGCAACGCCGCGUGAAGGAAGAAGGCUUUCGGGUUGUAAACUUCUUUUACCAGGGACGAAGGACGUGACGGUACCUGGAGAAAAAGCAACGGCUAACUACGUGCCAGCAGCCGCGGUAAUACGUAGGUUGCAAGCGUUGUCCGGAUUUACUGGGUGUAAAGGGCGUGUAGGCGGAGAAGCAAGUUGGGAGUGAAAUCCAUGGGCUCAACCCAUGAACUGCUCUCAAAACUGUUUCCCUUGAGUAUCGGAGAGGCAAGCGGAAUUCCUAGUGUAGCGGUGAAAUGCGUAGACAUUAGGAGGAACACCAGUGGCGAAGGCGGCUUGCUGGACGACAACUGACGCUGAGGCGCGAAAGCGUGGGGAGCAAACAGGAUUAGAUACCC
Molecule: ribosomal RNA, 418 nt
Filed under: uncultured bacterium
Lineage: Bacteria
Description: bacterial SSU rRNA
Rfam family: Bacterial small subunit ribosomal RNA
Source: RNAcentral